Molecule: ribosomal RNA, 443 nt
Filed under: uncultured bacterium
Lineage: Bacteria
Description: partial 16S ribosomal RNA
Rfam family: Bacterial small subunit ribosomal RNA
Source: RNAcentral
CCUACGGGAGGCAGCAGUGGGGAAUAUUGGGCAAUGGGCGCAAGCCUGACCCAGCAACGCCGCGUGAAGGAAGAAGGCUUUCGGGUUGUAAACUUCUUUUUUCAGGGACGCAGCAAGUGACGGUACCUGCGGAAUAAGCCACGGCUAACUACGUGCCAGCAGCCGCGGUAAUACGUAGGUGGCAAGCGUUAUCCGGAUUUACUGGGUGUAAAGGUCGUGUAGGCGGGGACGCAAGUCAGAUGUGAAAACCACGGGCUCAACCUGUGGCCAGCAUUUGAAACUGUGUGUCUUGAGUACUGGAGAGGCAGACGGAAUUCCUAGUGUAGCGGUGAAAUGCGUAGAUAUUAGGAGGAACACCAGUGGCGAAGGCGGUCUGCUGGACAGCAACUGACGCUGAGGCGCGAAAGCGUGGGGAGCAAACAGGAUUAGAUACCCGGGUAGUC